RNAcentral lists this unclassified non-coding RNA (291 nucleotides) under fungal sp. RNAcentral describes it as "partial internal transcribed spacer region". The stretch from base 1 to 46 matches the Rfam family "Eukaryotic small subunit ribosomal RNA", at positions 1786 to 1831 of the family's 1831-position model. The record is from RNAcentral. Lineage: Eukaryota; Fungi.
AAGUCGUAACAAGGUUUCCGUAGGUGAACCUGCGGAAGGAUCAUUAUUAUAAAAAACAAAAAUAUAUUUAUAUGUUUCUGUUUUGUUAAUAUUCUUUAUUGUAAUAGAUUUUUUUGGUUUCAAAAUGUCUGUUUUUGUCUAUUAUAAUUCAAACUCUAAAAACAAAAUUUUAUCGACUGAUUUGUACAAUUUAUUGUAUGAAGAACGUUGAGAUUUAUAUAUAAAAUGUCUUUGGUCUUUACAAGAAAUAAGUCUUAAAAUAACUUUUUACGAUGGAUCUCUUGGCUCUUA